This 444-nucleotide ribosomal RNA is filed under the name uncultured bacterium. RNAcentral describes it as "bacterial SSU rRNA". It matches the Rfam family "Bacterial small subunit ribosomal RNA", at positions 355 to 796 of the family's 1533-position model. The record is from RNAcentral.
UAAGGAAUAUUGGUCAAUGGACGAAAGUCUGAACCAGCCAUGCCGCGUGAAGGAUGAAGGCCCUCUGGGUUGUAAACUUCUUUUAUAGGGGACGAAAAAAGCUCAUUCUUGAGCACUUGACGGUACCCUAGGAAUAAGCACCGGCUAACUCCGUGCCAGCAGCCGCGGUAAUACGGAGGGUGCAAGCGUUAUCCGGAUUUACUGGGUUUAAAGGGUGCGUAGGUGGGUUAGUAAGUCAGUGGUGAAAUCUCCGGGCUUAACCCGGAAACUGCCAUUGAUACUAUUAGUCUUGAAUAUCCUGGAGGUGAGCGGAAUAUGUCAUGUAGCGGUGAAAUGCUUAGAUAUGACAUAGAACACCAAUUGCGAAGGCAGCUCACUACGGGAUUAUUGACACUGAGGCACGAAAGCGUGGGGAUCAAACAGGAUUAGAUACCCGUGUAGUCC